RNAcentral lists this ribosomal RNA (492 nucleotides) under uncultured bacterium. RNAcentral describes it as "partial 16S ribosomal RNA". It matches the Rfam family "Bacterial small subunit ribosomal RNA", at positions 29 to 507 of the family's 1533-position model. The record is from RNAcentral.
AGUGAACGCUGGCGGUAGGCCUAACACAUGCAAGUCGAACGGCAGCACAGUAAGAGCUUGCUCUUACGGGUGGCGAGUGGCGGACGGGUGAGGAAUACAUCGGAAUCUACUUUUUCGUGGGGGAUAACGUAGGGAAACUUACGCUAAUACCGCAUACGACCUACGGGUGAAAGCAGGGGAUCUUCGGAACUUGCGCGAUUGAAUGAGACGAUGUCGGAUUAGCUAGUUGGCGGGGUAAAGGCCCACCAAGGCGACGAUCCGUAGCUGGUCUGAGAGGAUGAUCCGCCACACUGGAACUGAGACACGGUCCAGACUCCUACGGGAGGCAGCAGUGGGGAAUAUUGGACAAUGGGCGCAAGCCUGAUCCAGCCAUACCGCGUGGGUGAAGAAGGCCUUCGGGUUGUAAAGCCCUUUUGUUGGGAAAGAAAAGCAGCAGGUUAAUACCCCGCUGUUCUGACGGUACCCAAAGAAUAAGCACCGGCUAACUUCGUG